GUAAGCAUCUGGAGUGUCUACUUCCUCUCUUAAACUGUGAGCUCCACCAGGGCCACCACUGUGUCUUAAUCACCUAUUCCUCCCACUAAGUGGGUACCAGAUACUCAGCAGGUACUCAAUAAACGUCCGAUGAGUACCAAAUGAAGAGAUGUGAACAAGGACCAAUGGUGAUGAAGAUGCGGGUAUAACGUAAGGAAGAACCGUUGAAAAACUCCUCUGUCUUGGAGCGCAGUCCGCUGCCUCUAAAGCACGCCAUCCUGCCCCUGGCCGGGGGGCCCUGCCGAUGUCAGAGGCUGGAGAGGACACCUCACUCACAGAGCCCAUUAGACCAGACAUGCUUUUGCCCCUUCUAGCUUUGGGACUUCUGGCUUGACAAUUUAGGAGAAGACAAAUACUGAGCAAAGAUAACCAACGUAAGAGGAUAUCUUUGAGAUUUUUGCUACCCACAAAUGAUAUAAAUCCCCCACUCUCCAAAUUUAAACUUUGCUUUGCUGCUCAAGAUAGAAACAAUCUGUGAAUAAGAUUUUGUGACAAAAUGAGCUUUCUACUUCCUAAGCAUAUUUGAGCCCUGACCCCCAAUCCAUGAGCUGCUCAUCAUUGUCUGCCUUCUCAUUACUCCGUGGAGGAGUCAGAAUUAGUUGUGGGGAAGUAACCCUUUCUGGCCCAUUUUCAAUUAUCAUAAGAUUUAGCAGGCUUGCGGGGGGACCUUGCUCAUCUUUGCUACCCUGCGACCUCCUCAAUUCGUCUCUUUUAUCUCUGUCUGGAUGGCCCACAUCCCAGCAUGCCACACUGCACUGGCUAAAUAAACCCGUAAAUCUAGCUUUUGUGUCCUGCUAAUCCUUUUAUUUCCUAAAUCUUAUUUAAUCCGAAAGGCUUCCUUUCAUCUCUUUAACUGUCCACAGCGUCACCCUCUCAUCCUGUCAGCAGUGCUUGCAAACCCCGGGUAGAGCUGAAGGCUCCCGGGAGCAGACCCCAGGCCGAGCCCGCAGCACCUGCCGGGGGCCUGCGGGAGGCUCGGGCGGCGCCUGCGCGGGGAGGCCCGGGUGUGGCUCUGCGCCGCCGGACCGCGCCCUCCCCUCCUCGGAGACAGGGAGGCUGCGAUCUGACCUCGGAAGCCUGCCGCCACAGGCCAACGACAGAGCUAAACUGGGCUCAGAGAAAAACGGAAGGGCAGAUUCACACUAAAUGAGUUUUACUUUUGUCUGUCUUAGAGGAAGAUAAGUUUUGGGUCUGAGGAAAAAGAAUCGUAAUUAACACAACGACAUGAGUUAAAGGGAGCUGACAGGUGAGUCCACAUGGAUCCAAAGUGAACGUGUCCAUUUCCACGCCUUGCACGUGCUUGUUUGGAGAAGGGAUGUCCUAGGAUCGUUCACACACCAGUUGUUGCAUUUAUAAUUUUCAGCACCACAGUCUUUGUGCUGGACUUUGUGUUACGGUUCUACUCCCUGUGCCCGGCCCCGGUGCGCCAGGCUCUGCUCUCCGCACUCUCUCCUGUUAGAGAUUACACUCACGGGCCUGUUCAUGUGUUGCCCAGAUCUACUAAUUCUGUUUUCAUGAGAGUAGCUGAAAACCUCUGAAUUCGGAGUUGGGAGUGUUGGGUGUCUCCCCCAGCCGUGACUCGGGCUCCCACCACCUGUCUGCUUUAGCUCAGCCAUGGCACCCCCAGGCCUUCAGCCUUCUCCACUGUGAACUAGGAAGAUUACAGCGACAUUGCAGGAUUGAGCAAGGACUAGAUCAGAUGAAAAAUGUAAAGCAGCGGAAGAGAGCGACACACAGGAGCUGAAGCAACUGUCAGCUUCCACGGUCUACGAAGUUUCCUCGAGGAUCGUGAGAGACGCAUGCGUGUGUGAGGGAGGCCUGCUCCCUCAGCCAAGAGGAGGAGAAGUGAUGUUUGCCCUGUUUGCUCAACUCAGUUGUAGACGUAUGUGAACUAUCAGGAUGUUGGUGAGGUGCCCCCGGCCCCCUGCCUUGCCAAGAACCUGGAAAUAAUCAUACCAGUACAUAAGAAUAUCUCCAAGGCCAACGUAAUUAGCAGCUGGAUUUUAGUUUAAUUAAACAGUAUAUGAAACAAUCUAAAGAAAGACUCUCUUACCACACGAGCCAGUGGGGUGGAGAAAAUGGGAAAGAUAGAGAAGCAGGUUGGCACAAGUGGCCUGGCUCUCCAGGAAGAGAGAUGCAGCCUCUGGAGGACACAAGCUCCGACCGGCAGCAGCCAGGCUUCAUCCAGCUCCUCUGUGGCUUGGUUGCAAUAUGCUUCGAGACAAUCAACUUCUCCUUUCUUUAACCCCACCAUCACCAAGCAACCUUCUGACCACCCAUUCUCUCUCCCAGGCACCUUGGAAGGUGCACCCUGGAUGACAGCCCAAUCCGUAGAGAGUUCUUCCUCACAGUAAAUUCAUGCUUUGCUGGUUUUAGCCGCAUGCUAGUUUUCUCAGGGUGGGUCAGUGUGAGUCCACUGUGAGAGCCUGAUCUUGGUCCGGGGGUGCUGGGAGCUGCUGGUUUCUUUACCUGCCAGACUGAGGACCAGAACCCAGGUGGUUGCAGUUCCCCAUGGUGAUGCCACAGAGACCUUCGGGCGACGCCAUCCUGUCUGAGGGUGCCUCUUAGACUUUACAAAGUACUCGGGAGAUCGCGACCUGGUUUAGUUUCUUUGUAUUUCCCAUAAAGUGUGCAGCACUGUGCCCUUCAUAAACCAGGAGCUCAAAAAUUUGUGAUAUAGAGUUGUAGGGGAGUUGCUGCUUUUUCAUGCAUUCAGAGAACCUUCCAGAUGGACUUGCAGCUCUGAAGAGUGGACGUGAGCUGGGCAAAUCCUUGAGAAAUAACUUUCUCAGGGUGUGUCUAGGUCCACCUGUGCUCCAAACGGGGCUGUAGUUGUCACCAAUGUGACACCCACAGGCCUUCCUUAGGUGUCUUUCCUCCUUUUUUAUGUUCCUAAAACAUCCUGAUGUGACUUCUUUUGUAGGACUUAUUUUGUUCCUGUUGCUUCACAAGUAGUUUUUUAAAAUAUAUGCCUCUAGCUCCCUUAGAUUAUCAGCUUCUUGAUAAGCUCCAUGUUACAUUCUAUCUUAGAAAUUCCUAUACAAAAGUACAGGCAUGCAGCAAGAGCUCAAUACAUGUUUGGUCUGUCUGGAAUUAUGUGACCUGUAGUCAAAAAAGGCGACAAAGGAUUCAGGCAUGACUACCUAAAACAUAAGGUGUGAUAUCAUUUACAUGCAAUAUCCUUAUAAAGUUCACAAAAUGUCCCGGCAGCUGAGAUGCUUUGUGACACAGGUGAAGACAUUUUACAUUAAUUUUUAAAUUCAACAUGGUGGUGAGGAAAUGGAGCAGCGCAAGGGCACAGUAACAACGUGUCUGAAUCAGAGAAGGAAAAGCGGAAACCGAUGUACACCGUCCGUAGUUUUAAAAUUUUAUAUGUUCCAAG
Equus caballus (horse) is the source of this 3421-nucleotide long non-coding RNA. The record is from Ensembl. NCBI's taxonomy places the organism in Eukaryota, Metazoa, Chordata, Mammalia, Perissodactyla, Equidae.